GAUGAACGCUGGCGGCGUGCCUAAUACAUGCGAGUCGAGCGAACGGACGAGAAGCUUGCUUCUCUGAUGUUAGCGGCGGACGGGUGAGUAACACGUGGAUAACCUACCUAUAAGACUGGGAUAACUUCGGGAAACCGGAGCUAAUACCGGAUAAUAUUUUGAACCGCAUGGUUCAUAAGUGAAAGACGGUCUUGCUGUCACUUAUAGAUGGAUCCGCGCUGCAUUAGCUAGUUGGUAAGGUAACGGCUUACCAAGGCAACGAUGCAUAGCCGACCUGAGAGGGUGAUCGGCCACACUGGAACUGAGACACGGUCCAGACUCCUACGGGAGGCAGCAGUAGGGAAUCUUCCGCAAUGGGCGAAAGCCUGACGGAGCAACGCCGCGUGAGUGAUGAAGGUCUUCGGAUCGUAAAACUCUGUUAUUAGGGAAGAACAUAUGUGUAAGUAACUGUGCACAUCUUGACGGUACCUAAUCAGAAAGCCACGGCUAACUACGUG
RNAcentral lists this ribosomal RNA (497 nucleotides) under uncultured bacterium. RNAcentral's name for it is "partial 16S ribosomal RNA". It matches the Rfam family "Bacterial small subunit ribosomal RNA", at positions 28 to 507 of the family's 1533-position model. The record is from RNAcentral.